Molecule: ribosomal RNA, 400 nt
Filed under: uncultured Chlorodendrales
Lineage: Eukaryota; Viridiplantae; Chlorophyta
Description: partial small subunit ribosomal RNA
Rfam family: Eukaryotic small subunit ribosomal RNA
Source: RNAcentral
GCUUGUCUCAAAGAUUAAGCCAUGCAUGUCUAAGUAUAAGCCUUUAUAUGGUGAGACUGCGAAUGGCUCAUUAAAUCAGAAACUGUUUAUUUGAUAGUGCCUACUACAUGGAUACCUGUAGUAAUUCUAGAGCUAAUACAUGCAAAAAGCCUGGACUUCUGGAACAGGCGUAUUUAUUAGAUAUACAAACCAACCGAGCUUGCUCGUCUCUUGGUGAAUCAUGAUAACUUCACGAAUCGCAUGGCCUCGCGCCGGCGAUAUUUCAUUCAAAUUUCUGCCCUAUCAAUUGGCGAUGGUAGGAUAGAGGCCUACCAUGGUGUUAACGGGUGACGGGGGAUUAGGGUUCGAUUCCGGAGAGGCAGCCUGAGAAACGGCUACCACAUCCAAGGAAGGCAGCAGG